CCCUUAGAUGUUCUGGGCAGCACGCGCGCUACAAUGGUCCUCGCAAACGGAUGCAUUCUCGAAGGAGAAUGCCAAUCUUGGAAUCUAUGCCUUGGUCGGGACAGUUGCUUGCAAUUUUUCGACUCGAACCAGGAAUUCCUUGUAAUCGUGAUUCAUCACAUCACGAUGAAUACGUCCCUGCCCUUUGUGCACACCGCCCGUCGCUCCUACCGAUCGAAGAGUUAGGUGAAUUGUUUUGAUCGAUAAGAUUUGACUAUGGUCAACUCUCGUUGUGAAAUUCUGUGAAUCUGACUGUUUAGAGGAAGGAAAAGUCGUAACA
RNAcentral lists this ribosomal RNA (319 nucleotides) under uncultured eukaryote. RNAcentral's name for it is "partial 18S ribosomal RNA". It matches the Rfam family "Eukaryotic small subunit ribosomal RNA", at positions 1470 to 1796 of the family's 1831-position model. The record is from RNAcentral.